CUCUAUUAGAAGUACCCUCUAGAAGCAAUGAUAGGGAUACUGAAAAGACAUGAAAACAUUGAUCUUUGUCCCUCCUUCCCUCCAUGACUUCCAACCUUUAGUCUGAAAAGGAUGAUGAAAGUCUUGUUACCUUAUGGAUACCAACGUCUUCACUGUGGCUACCAGCAGGAGAGCUGUUACAGCGCUGUUUGAUGGCAACACAGUUGAAGAAAAUGCUUGACACGGAUGUGACCAGAGAACUACAGCAAGAUGUGAAAUACAGGCCAUGGGGUGAAGAAGUCAAACUGCAUAAGAGGGAGAGGCAAGGAAAGAAGAGCUGACUUAGAAAAACAGGGAAGGUUAUCCAAAACAAAUGGAAAACAAAGAAUUAAGGAGCAGCCAUUAACACCCACACGACGCCUGAGACAGCCUGGGAUUGUUACAGUGACUGAAUGAGUAUGCAAACAUAAUAACUGCUACAGAACUAACUGGAGGACCAUCUAAUCUGACCUUCUGUCUUCAGCUGAGCUGGUGCCAGCCAUCUCAAAUGAAGACAAAAAAAUCCCUAACACAAAAUUGUGCAAUGCUCUGUUAUAGAAGAAAAUUUUCCCUGACUCCAGCUGUUGCUCAAUUAUGUCCUGAAGCUUGAGGAUUAACAGUUCUGGUGAUUUUUGU
This 654-nucleotide long non-coding RNA is filed under the name Numida meleagris (helmeted guineafowl). RNAcentral describes it as "lncRNA (ENSNMEG00000017741.1)". The record is from RNAcentral. Lineage: Eukaryota; Metazoa; Chordata; Aves; Galliformes; Numididae.